This 500-nucleotide ribosomal RNA is filed under the name uncultured bacterium. RNAcentral's name for it is "partial 16S ribosomal RNA". It matches the Rfam family "Bacterial small subunit ribosomal RNA", at positions 30 to 523 of the family's 1533-position model. The record is from RNAcentral.
AUUGAACGCUGGCGGAAUGCUUUACACAUGCAAGUCGAACGGCAGCACGGACUUCGGUCUGGUGGCGAGUGGCGAACGGGUGAGUAAUACAUCGGAACGUGCCCAGUCGUGGGGGAUAACGUAGCGAAAGCUACGCUAAUACCGCAUACGAUCUAAGGAUGAAAGCGGGGGAUCGCAAGACCUCGCGCGAUUGGAGCGGCCGAUGGCAGAUUAGGUAGUUGGCAGGGUAAAGGUCUACCAAGCCGAAGAUCUGUAGCUGGUCGGAGAGGAUGAUCAGCCACACUGGGACUGAGACACGGCCCAGACUCCUACGGGAGGCAGCAGUGGGGAAUUUUGGACAAUGGGCGCAAGCCUGAUCCAGCCAUUCCGCGUGCAGGGUGAAGGCCUUCGGGUUGUAAACUGCUUUUGUACAGAACGAAAAGGCUCUGGUUAAUACCCGGGGCUCAUGACGGUACUGUAAGAAUAAGCACCGGCUAACUACGUGCCAGCCGCCGCCGUAA